UACGUAGAAGACUAGCGUUAGUCAUCUUAAUUAGGUUUAAAGGUACCUAGACGGUGAAUUAAACCUGAAAAAAAAAAAGUGGAAGGUAAAUAAUUCACUAGAGUUUUAUAGGAGAAAGUAGAAUUUUUGGAGGAGAGAUAAAAUUUGUUAAUCCCAAAAGGACUGAUAGCGGCGAAGGCAGCUUUCUAUCUAAAAACUGACGUUGAGGGACGAGGGCUUGGGGAGCAAGAAGG
Molecule: ribosomal RNA, 233 nt
Filed under: uncultured bacterium
Lineage: Bacteria
Description: partial 16S ribosomal RNA
Rfam family: Bacterial small subunit ribosomal RNA
Source: RNAcentral